GUCCCUGUAGCGCAAUGGAGAGCUCGUUGAACUUCUAAUCCAAAGGUCAUGGGUUUGAAUUCCACCUGGGAUG
Molecule: transfer RNA, 73 nt
Filed under: Trichonephila clavipes
Lineage: Eukaryota; Metazoa; Arthropoda; Arachnida; Araneae; Nephilidae
Rfam family: tRNA
About the family: Transfer RNA (tRNA) molecules are approximately 80 nucleotides in length. Their secondary structure includes four short double-helical elements and three loops (D, anti-codon, and T loops).
Source: Rfam by way of RNAcentral